This 327-nucleotide ribosomal RNA is filed under the name uncultured Pseudomonadota bacterium. RNAcentral describes it as "bacterial SSU rRNA". It matches the Rfam family "Bacterial small subunit ribosomal RNA", at positions 30 to 351 of the family's 1533-position model. Lineage: Bacteria; Pseudomonadati; Pseudomonadota. The record is from RNAcentral.
AUUGAACGCUGGCGGAAUGCUUUACACAUGCAAGUCGAACGGCAGCACGGGUGCUUGCACCUGGUGGCGAGUGGCGAACGGGUGAGUAAUGCGUCGGAACGUACCGAGUAAUGGGGGAUAACGCACCGAAAGGUGUGCUAAUACCGCAUACGCCCUGAGGGGGAAAGUGGGGGAUCGCAAGACCUCACGUUAUUCGAGCGGCCGACGUCUGAUUAGCUAGUUGGUGGGGUAAAGGCCUACCAAGGCGACGAUCAGUAGCGGGUCUGAGAGGAUGAUCCGCCACACUGGGACUGAGACACGGCCCAGACCCCCUCUACCGGGAGGCAG